Molecule: ribosomal RNA, 434 nt
Filed under: uncultured bacterium
Lineage: Bacteria
Description: bacterial SSU rRNA
Rfam family: Bacterial small subunit ribosomal RNA
Source: RNAcentral
GAACGCGAAGAACCUUACCCGGGCUUGAAUUGCAGAGGAAGGAUUUAGAGAUAAUGACGCCCUUCGGGGUCUCUGUGAAGGUGCUGCAUGGUUGUCGUCAGCUCGUGCCGUGAGGUGUCGGCUUAAGUGCCAUAACGAGCGCAACCCCUCUCUUCAGUUGCCAUCAGGUAGUGCUGGGCACUCUGGAGACACUGCCACCGUAAGGUGUGAGGAAGGUGGGGAUGACGUCAAAUCAGCACGGCCCUUACGUCCGGGGCUACACACGUGUUACAAUGGCCGGUACAGAGGGACGGUGUAAUGCAAAUUGCAUCCAAUCUUGAAAGCCGGUCCCAGUUCGGACUGGGGUCUGCAACCCGACCCCACGAAGCUGGAUUCGCUAGUAAUCGCGCAUCAGCCAUGGCGCGGUGAAUACGUUCCCGGGUCUUGUACACACC